UAGUCGCAAACGACGAAACUUACGCUCUAGCUGCCUAAGGGCAGUUUGUCCGCUUCCUAGAAUACUUGUGGUUUAGGAACCCGACCGUAGCGCACGCACACAAGUCCGUAUAGAGUCAAGCCUCGGGGCUUUAUACCAAACUUAGAGGAUCGCAACUUGUACCCUGUUCGUCGGGUCACUUGGUGUUAAAACAAUAGACGAUAUCUAAGCAUGUAGUAUUCUCGAGCGUAAUGCUGGCGGACGCGGGUUCAACUCCCGCCAUCUCCACCA
This 270-nucleotide transfer-messenger RNA is filed under the name Acinetobacter sp. Its description in RNAcentral is "partial transfer-messenger RNA". It matches the Rfam family "transfer-messenger RNA", at positions 88 to 374 of the family's 374-position model. From Rfam's summary of the family: Bacterial tmRNA, also known as 10Sa RNA or SsrA, is named for its dual tRNA and mRNA-like properties. Its role is to liberate the mRNA from a stalled ribosome. Lineage: Bacteria; Pseudomonadati; Pseudomonadota; Gammaproteobacteria; Moraxellales; Moraxellaceae. The record is from RNAcentral.